This 1485-nucleotide ribosomal RNA is filed under the name uncultured prokaryote. RNAcentral describes it as "partial 16S ribosomal RNA". It matches the Rfam family "Bacterial small subunit ribosomal RNA". The record is from RNAcentral.
AGAGUUUGAUCCUGGCUCAGGAUGAACGCUAGCGGCAGGCCUAACACAUGCAAGUCGAGGGGUAACAGGAAAAGCUUGUUUUUCGCUGACGACCGGCGCACGGGUGCGUAACGCGUAUACAAUCUACCUCUAACUGGAAGAUAGCCCCGAGAAAUCGGGAUUAAUACUCCAUAAUAUAAUUCCUUCGCAUGUUGGAAUUAUUAAAGCUCCGGCGGUUAGAGAUGAGUAUGCGUCCCAUUAGUUUGUUGGUGAGGUAACGGCUCACCAAGACUACGAUGGGUAGGGGGCCUGAGAGGGUGAACCCCCACACUGGUACUGAGACACGGACCAGACUCCUACGGGAGGCAGCAGUGAGGAAUAUUGGUCAAUGGACGCAAGUCUGAACCAGCCAUGCCGCGUGAAGGAUGAAGGCGCUACGCGUCGUAAACUUCUUUUAUUUGGGAAGAAACCCCUGGACGUGUCCAGGGCUGACGGUACCAAACGAAUAAGGACCGGCUAACUCCGUGCCAGCAGCCGCGGUAAUACGGAGGGUCCAAGCGUUAUCCGGAAUUAUUGGGUUUAAAGGGUCCGUAGGCGGGAAAUUAAGUCAGUGGUGAAAUCCUACAGCUCAACUGUGGAACUGCCAUUGAAACUGGUUUUCUUGAAUUUAGUCGAAGUGGGCGGAAUGUGUCAUGUAGCGGUGAAAUGCAUAGAUAUGACACAGAACACCGAUUGCGAAGGCAGCUCACUAGCCUAAUAUUGACGCUGAGGCACGAAAGCGUGGGUAGCGAACAGGAUUAGAUACCCUGGUAGUCCACGCCGUAAACGAUGAUCACUCGACAUUGGCGAUAAACUGUCAGUGUCCAAGCGAAAGUGUUAAGUGAUCCACCUGGGGAGUACGAUCGCAAGGUUGAAACUCAAAGGAAUUGACGGGGGCCCGCACAAGCGGUGGAGCAUGUGGUUUAAUUCGAUGAUACGCGAGGAACCUUACCAGGGCUUAAAUGCAGAAUGACCGCUUGGGAAACCAAGCUUUCUUCGGACAAUUUGCAAGGUGCUGCAUGGCCGUCGUCAGCUCGUGCCGUGAGGUGUCGGGUUAAGUCCCAUAACGAGCGCAACCCCUAUCUUUAGUUGCCAGCGAGUAAUGUCGGGGACUCUAAAGAAACUGCCCGUGUAAGCGGAGAGGAAGGUGGGGAUGAUGUCAGGUCAUCACGGCCCUUACGUCCUGGGCUACACACGUGCUACAAUGGCGCAUACAAAGGGCAGCUACCUGGUGACAGGAUGCUAAUCUCUAAAGUGCGUCUCAGUUCGGAUCGAAGUCUGCAACUCGACUUCGUGAAGCUGGAAUCGCUAGUAAUCGGAUAUCAGCCAUGAUCCGGUGAAUACGUUCCCGGGCCUUGUACACACCGCCCGUCAAGCCAUGGAAGCUGGGGGUACCUGAAGUUCGUCACCGUAAGGAGCGGCCUAGGGUAAAACUAGUAACUGGGGCUAAGUCGUAACAAGGUAACC